UGUGACACAAUGAGCCUUAAAGGUAAUGAUACCAAAGUUUGUAACGAAAAAGUGGAACCGGCUGGGGCUAUGAUAUUUAAGCAGAGUAGGGCAACCUAAACUAGGCUCUGAACAGUUUGUAAUAGAAAUAGGUAAUGAGUGCUUCUGAACCUAUUUUAGAAGACUAAUCCUGAUAGAGAGGAACAAGGGAAUUAACCACCAAGCAGGAGUAAA
Molecule: long non-coding RNA, 213 nt
Filed under: Trifolium pratense (red clover)
Lineage: Eukaryota; Viridiplantae; Streptophyta; Magnoliopsida; Fabales; Fabaceae
Description: long non-coding RNA (TPRA_LNC002533)
Source: RNAcentral